AAAGCACCAAGGAGCAGGUAUCAGGCACAACCCAUUAGCCCAAAACACCUUGCUACGCCACACCCACACGGGCACCCAGCAGUGAUAAAUAUUAAGCAAUGAGUAAAAGCUAAAUAAAGCUCGACUUAGUUAUGGUUAUUAGGGCCGGUAAACCUCGUGCCAGCCACCGCGGUUAUACGAGGGGCCCAAAACAACAGACACCGGCGUAAAUUGUGACUAGAGCACCUACUUACAUCAUUGGAAAAUAAACAAAAACUCAAUCGUAAAACCUGAGCCAAAAGAAACAUACUUUUCCAACUACAAAGAAGCUUGAACCCACGAAGACUAAGAAACAAACUAGGAUUAGAUACCCUACUAUGCUUAGUUGUUAAUAUGAUACCAAAAACACUGGUAUCCGCCAGAAAAUUACACGCGAAAAGCUUAAAACUCAAAGGACUUGGCGGUGCUCCGUAUUCGCCUUAGAGGAGCCUGUCCUAUAAUCGAUAACCCACGCUUUACCUUACCAUCUUUUGUCAAAACAGCCUAUAUACCGCCGUCGCAAACUUACCCCAUGAGGGCAAAACAGUAAGUAAAAUAGUAGUACACUAACACGUCAGGUCAAGGUGUAGCUAAUAAGAUGGAAGAGAUGGGCUACAUUUUCUAAAACAGAAUACACGGCAAAGAGCAUUGAAAUGUGCUCUAAAAGGUGGAUUUAAUAGUAAGAUAGAAAAGAAGACCUAUCUAAAAA
RNAcentral lists this ribosomal RNA (727 nucleotides) under Liolaemus espinozai. RNAcentral's name for it is "partial 12S ribosomal RNA". It matches the Rfam family "Bacterial small subunit ribosomal RNA", at positions 270 to 1368 of the family's 1533-position model. Lineage: Eukaryota; Metazoa; Chordata; Lepidosauria; Squamata. The record is from RNAcentral.